UGCACCUGUUACCAGUUUAACUUCGGAUCAGAAGCACUGUACUAGUAGUCCAUCUUGUAGAUAUUAAAAGCGUGCUAAAUCAGAAGCUAAUCUAGAUAUUAAUUAAUUUUGUCAUCCGGGAGUUAAGUACAUGUAACAGGGGGUAAUUUGGAAUUCAUAGUCUUUUGACUCUUUUGUCAGGUUCUUUGAUUAGUAUGGGAGUGUGCUAGCCAAAUGCUUGAGUUAGCCUAUGUCACUUCCAUCUACCUUAUGCACCAAGUGAAUGAUCCGGGAUAAAAGAGUAUUAUCUUAAUGGUGUCAGUACCUCACCUCAAGUUGUUCAUUUAGAUGUCUCUGAACCUCAAUUUGCAUCUGAAGUGCUUCACCAAUUUGAAUAGUUCUUGCACCCAACAAAAGAGACUAUUACUUCAAUAUUCAUAUUAAUACGAUUAUAGUGUUUGAACAGUGUUCUUACUUCUCUGCUUGUGGAAUGACAUUUGUACUGCUCAUUGUUGUCGUACUUGUUACAGGCAUCCUAUCCGCAAUGACUGUGCAUCCUAUGGCUGCAAAUUGGGCACAAGUUGCGAACUUUUAUGCUGCUCCACUAUAAUGGAAAAUUUCUGAUUCCCAAGUACCUGGAGGUGGCUCUUCAGAUGAUACAAGGUGAGUCCUGGAAUGCCCAUGAGCCUCAUGACUGUUUUUGGAGUAGCUUCUGGGUGAUGAAGAUGAAUAUAAGAAUUUAGCUGGUUUCUGUACAUUGAGAAGAUAAGAAUAGUAUACUUACUCUCUGCUCCACCUAAUUGAUUGACUGCAUCUACAAAUCGCUGAUGUAACUCAGGUGUCCAUUUUAGCCUUGGUUUAGCGUCAGUUGAGAGAACCAGCCCAGAAUCUCCUUGGGUACUUCCUCCUCGCAGGAACAGAUGCUGCUCCAUCGGAAAGGAUGUCCUUGUAGUGAAGAGCUCAUUUGGACCCUGAUGUUGGUGAUACAUCUGCUGUAGAAUGAACACAAAUUUUUUAGAAGUCAGAACAACGGAAUAGGAGGGCUGAGAUUCGCCUAACCUUUCUUGCCUUGUUUUCCAGUAGCUUCUUUUCUCCGCUCAAACUUGAAGUUAUUUAGGAGCGUUUCCUGUUGACAAGCCCAAAAGCACUCUUGUCCUAGCUUAAGCCUGUUGAUAUCCUUUACCUUUUGGUCUUCCAAGGUUGAUAAGUAGUGCCUUGUGAGGGGCUCCUUAUAUGGGAAAACAUAGAAUCUAGCAUCUUGAAACAAACAUCAAAAGAACAAUCUUUAAGCCAACCAACAGAAGGUGCUAUCUUUAGUUAUUUUGGAAUCAAUAACCCAAAUCGGAAUUUCAAAUUUUCAUUUCCUACCCAUGACUGCUUUGAUAACACCGAUCUUGUAACUUUCUGUGUGCUUUACUCAUUUAGAUCAGUUAAAGUGUGUGUGCAGAGAUAAACACCAGCAGAUGAAGCGAGUUAUACUGUUAUCAUUUAUGUAGCUUUCUUGCAUACGAUUCUCCUAUCUGAUCUGUUCAGUUUGCGAAAGAUGCUUCUCUGAAUUUAUGCGUUAUGAGUGGCUGGUGGAAAACGUUUGAGUAGCUUCUCUGCCAUUUGUUGGUAUUUACGAAUGCGGCAGUCUUGUUGCACUAUGUUACAUGAUUAAUUGAUUAUUGUUUAUGGUGGAGUCUGAUGCAGUUUAGGCAAAAUUUGUUUAAGUGACACGAUGACACUUGUUGUUAUUCUUUUGUUGAAGAAGGCUAUUCUACAUACAGGGGCAUAGUUUUUCUGUCAAUUUUAUUCUGUCCAUAUUACUUUAAAGUGCAUGGAAUAUGAACAAGCAUAAGUUCCAUCAACGUUCCUUUGGUAAGAUUGGUACAUAUUCCUAUUGUAGUCCAGAAAAGUUUGGGCCAAGAGAUUUAUGCUCUUUACAUGGGAUAAGCUCCUUUUGAACAACAUCACUUUCAUUGUAAUCAUCACCAGUCAAAGCAAGAGUACUUAUGUACUAUGUUUCUGUAUAUGCUACACAAUCAUCAACGUUUCAGUACUUUUGCUACCAUAGAUAGCUGGUUCAGUGCAAUCAUGCUUUUUAGCUAAGGCACUGAAACACUUGUAAGCCAACGUUGGCCAGUUUAGUCCCUCCCCCUUUUUUCUUUCAAAAAACAGUAACAACAAUACAAAUUCUAUAAAUUUAUGUCCGCUCCAUAAGAGAACUGUUUUGUAGCUUUUCUAGUCUUAGUUUUGUACUCUUCCUGAAAUCAAAGUCAAGUAUGUAAGAAUUUUCCACACAUCAGCAAUUUUCAUUCCCAUUGGCAUGUUAUCUGACAAAUGUAUGAGAUAAGAGUAAGAUUUUUCUUUAUAUAUCAUGGCGCGUUCUGAGAAACUGAGGACAUUAUGUUUCCUGUAUUCAAUUUAACUAUGAUGCUUGUACCACUGUACUUCUUCAUCAUCUCUCUCUGUGUGAUUUGGUUGGCUGAAUAAGCCCCUCGUUAGAACCGUGCCAAUGGCAUACGUUGACAUUUUGGACUACUGGUAAGAAUUUUCAGCUGUCACAAUUUAAUAGUACUCAUUCUUUACAUAAGAAAACGAAAUAUCAGGAAUAUCUCUCUUUCUGCUUCACCAUCACUGAUGCUGUUGCAGUGUCCCCUCCCAUUAAGAGCUUUCUUUGAUAGCCGAUAGCCAUUGGGAACGGUAACCAUUACUUGCCUUUUAUUCUAAUAUAUUUUCUCAGUAGAUCAGGAACCUCAUGAAGUUUUUGAAGAGAGGAGUGAUUUGGAUCAUUUGCUAUUUGUUUCAUGAUGUUUAUGACGCUAAGACCAAUUGAUUCUACCAUUUGUGAGUUGUGAUAUUACUGCAUUUGCUCAGUUUGUGUUGAUGACCUAACAUGAUACUUCAGUUUACAUUUCUUUUUCUACUUACUGCAAUUUAUUUUUCUUAAUACAUCUGAUUAUUUGUAUUUAUUUUUUCACUUACUGCACUUUUAUUUCUCACUUCAUGUACUUAUCAGAUAUUGCAUGCUAUUUGGAAUGGAGGGUGAGCUGUCUUGCUAUCAGCAUAUAAAGAAGUUUCGAUAGAAGAAUUCAAAGCAUCGUGAUGUGCCCUUCAUCUUUUGCAAAGCAGCAUCGCUUGUGGGGGCAUAUUCAGCUGUAAAGAUUGGUCCUGAUGAGAGUUAUAGAAUCGUAUCUCCCUUUUGAAGGCUUGCUUUGGCCUGGGAAAAGAAAGCCUGAGUUGCUGGGUGACCAUCCCGUUCUGCUUAUGGUAUUAUUAGAGGUUCUACUGCUAUUAUAUCUUGCUUUCUACCUCUCUUAGGAAACGUGUAAAUUCUUGUAAUAACAUACUAUAUGCUUGGUGCUAGAAUUCCCCACUUUGGUGUUAUCUACUGUUUCCUUUCAGCACCAUUAAUUUUUUUAAGGGGAAAUGCAGUAGGGUCCUUUCUGCACCAUUAUUAUUUUUUAAUGGGGAAUGCAGUAGGGGAAGCUCCUACUAUGAUAAAUAUAUUAAUAUAUAAAAGGGCAAAUAAGAACAGGUAAAAAAGCUGUACAAAACAGAAGAACCCUGGAAGGGGCCAAGGAGGCCAAAAGAAAAGAGGAGUCUAUACAACUGAACUAAGCCAAGCAGAGAGGUGAAGGUCAGGAGAGGAAGUCAUCUUGUGCAAUUGAAGACGGACCUCGUCUUUAAGGCCAAUGCUUACAUGAAGAAAGGAGCUUGAAGAUCAACUUUUGCUUGCUGUGUCAUGGAGAAGAAUUGUAGAUGACGAUCCUAGUGAAUAUUUAGAAGCUGCCAGCAUCUUGUGCUAAAGGGACAAUCAAAGAAAAGACGGAAUGUAGUUUCCUCCAACCCUAAACUACAUAGAACACAAUUGCAAUUGUUUCUGCACCAUUAUUAUUGUGUACUAAUAUUAUUUGCUUUGUGCUAGACAUUCCCCACUUUUGUUCCAAUUUUGGACCUGUAAAUACUUUGGACAAUAUUUUGGUUGUCUUGGUUUUGGCCAAAUUUUAGCU
This is a long non-coding RNA of Phragmites australis (common reed), 3974 nucleotides long. RefSeq lists it as uncharacterized. NCBI's taxonomy places the organism in Eukaryota, Viridiplantae, Streptophyta, Magnoliopsida, Poales, Poaceae. The transcript has 3 exons. The record is from RefSeq and is a predicted model, not a curated record.